UGGGGAAUAUUGCACAAUGGGCGAAAGCCUGAUGCAGCGACGCCGCGUGAGGGAUGACGGCCUUCGGGUUGUAAACCUCUUUCAGUAGGGACGAAGCGCAAGUGACGGUACCUGCAGAAGAAGCACCGGCUAACUACGUGCCAGCAGCCGCGGUAAUACGUAGGGUGCGAGCGUUGUCCGGAAUUACUGGGCGUAAAGAGAUCGUAGGCGGUUUGUCACGUCGUCUGUGAAAUCCUAGGGCUUAACCCUGGACGUGCAGGCGAUACGGGCUGACUUGAGUACUACAGGGGAGACUGGAAUUUCUGGUGUAGCGGUGGAAUGCACAGAUAUCAGGAAGAACACCGAUGGCGAAGGCAGGUCUCUGGGUAGUAACUGACGCUGAGGAGCGAAAGCAUGGGUAGCGAACAGG
Molecule: ribosomal RNA, 409 nt
Filed under: bacterium
Lineage: Bacteria
Description: partial 16S ribosomal RNA
Rfam family: Bacterial small subunit ribosomal RNA
Source: RNAcentral